Molecule: ribosomal RNA, 460 nt
Filed under: uncultured bacterium
Lineage: Bacteria
Description: partial 16S ribosomal RNA
Rfam family: Bacterial small subunit ribosomal RNA
Source: RNAcentral
GACGAACGCUGGCGGCGUGCUUAACACAUGCAAGUCGAGCGGUAAGGCCUCUUCGGGGGUACACGAGCGGCGAACGGGUGAGUAACACGUGGGUGACAUGCCCUCAGCUCUGGGAUAAGCCUGGGAAACUGGGUCUAAUACAGGAUAUGACCUUUACUCGCAUGGGGUUUGGUGGAAAGUGUUUUCGGCUGGGGAUGGGCCCGUGGCCUAUCAGCUUGUUGGGGGGGUGAUGGCCAACCAAGGAGACGACGGGUAGCCGGCCUGCGAGGGCGACCGGCCACACUGGAACUGAGACACCGCCCAGGCUCCUACGGGAAGCAGCAGUGGGGAAUAGUACGCAAGGGGCGGAAGCCUGACGCAGCGACGCCGCGUGGGGGAUGACGGCCUUCGGGUUGUAAACCUCUUUCGACCCCGACGAAUUUGGACGGUAGGUGUAGAAGAAGCACCGGCCAACUACGUG